RNAcentral lists this long non-coding RNA (795 nucleotides) under Sorghum bicolor (sorghum). Its description in RNAcentral is "long non-coding RNA (SBIC_LNC014931)". Lineage: Eukaryota; Viridiplantae; Streptophyta; Magnoliopsida; Poales; Poaceae. The record is from RNAcentral.
UUGGGAACUAAACAAGGCCUAAUAUAUAUAUUUCAUUUUCUAGUGUAAGAAAACGUUACCAUCAAUCCUUUACAUUGGCUUAGGAAGAAACAAUGUGAUUAUUUCCUAAACAGUGUUGGGUGCCGCUCCCUUUACUGACACUGUAAAUUGUCCACUCACUCUGUAGUAAUCUGUACUAUCUUCUUAUAGUCUGCAGUUGCAUGCUGUUUUCAUCAGGACUUAUAUAAUUGACCUUAUAUAAUUUAAAUUUUGUCCCACGAAACUUGAGGCACUUUAGCCUCACCUGCGGGUCCCAUCCUAACACAAUCAUAGCAUCAGUGUAUCUCUCUCAUCGUUGCUUCGGUCGACUAUAGUGCAACGGUGAAUAAAAAAGAGAAAAAUAACUCAGUUGUCUAAGGCCAAAUUAGUUAUUAGGUGCAUGUGUAAAUGCGAAUAGUUGAUGUGAUCAGUUUUUUGUUUAAACAACAAUAUGCUGAUGUGUGUUGGCAAUUUUGCAUGAAUCAUUCAGCUUUUUAUGACCAUGUCAAUAAAAAAGUACAGCAGGUACUGGAGGUCUGGUGCCUUCAACACUAUUCUAUCAGUCAAUUCCUGGAAUGCAAAGCAUUGAGGGAUAGAAAGAGUGCGGAGCUUAGGCGUGAAAAUGCAAUGGGGUUAGCAGUAUAUAUUAAUUCCCUUCUAGAAAAUGAUGUUCUUUCUUGGAUUUGUACUUCCAAUAAAUUGGUAUAAUUAUUGGCAUAUAUUUGGUCAUCGGGUCAAGAGACAUUAUGCUUAUAUGAUCCAAUCAACAAAGGAAAC